CAAUCUAUAGGCGAUGGAGUUCGCCAUUAAAUCCGUUAUUAUGCGGUGAUGACUCCUACUAGUAA
This 65-nucleotide non-coding RNA is filed under the name Sporomusa malonica. Its description in RNAcentral is "Fluoride sequence". It matches the Rfam family "Fluoride riboswitch aptamer (crcB RNA motif)". The record is from Rfam by way of RNAcentral. Lineage: Bacteria; Bacillati; Bacillota; Negativicutes; Selenomonadales; Sporomusaceae.